AAAAACUAAAUAAAAAGAAGAAAAGAA
Molecule: small RNA, 27 nt
Filed under: Arabidopsis thaliana (thale cress)
Lineage: Eukaryota; Viridiplantae; Streptophyta; Magnoliopsida; Brassicales; Brassicaceae
Description: ATSL184670
Source: RNAcentral